GGUGAAAUGGCGCUGGUGAUGAGUACACAGUGUGCGUACACUUGCUGUAGCGGGUUUUGUCUAAAAGGCCCGUGUUCCAUGGGGUUUCCGGUUUUGGUGUGGUCUCAAGAGUUCGAAUCUCUUCUUCACCGCCA
Molecule: transfer RNA, 134 nt
Filed under: Pseudomonas chaetocerotis
Lineage: Bacteria; Pseudomonadati; Pseudomonadota; Gammaproteobacteria; Pseudomonadales; Pseudomonadaceae
Description: tRNA-OTHER
Source: RNAcentral